This 245-nucleotide ribosomal RNA is filed under the name uncultured Lachnospiraceae bacterium. RNAcentral's name for it is "partial 16S ribosomal RNA". It matches the Rfam family "Bacterial small subunit ribosomal RNA", at positions 524 to 768 of the family's 1533-position model. The record is from RNAcentral. Lineage: Bacteria; Bacillati; Bacillota; Clostridia; Lachnospirales; Lachnospiraceae.
UACAUAGGUAGCGAGCGUUAUCCGGAAUAACUGGGUGUAAAGGGAGUGUAGGUGGAGAUGCAAGUCUGACGUGAAAGCCCGUGGCUUAACUGCGGGAUUGCGCCAGAAACUGUAUGUCUAGAGUACGAGAGAGGCAAGUGGAAUUCCUAGUGUAGCGGUAGAAUGCGUAGAGAUUAGGAGGAACACCGGAGGCGAAGGCGGCUUGCUGGCUCGCAACUGACACUGAGACUCGAAAGUGUGGGGAG